AUUGAACGCUGGCGGCAUGCCUUACACAUGCAAGUCGAACGGCAGCACGGGAGCAAUCCUGGUGGCGAGUGGCGAACGGGUGAGUAAUAUACCGGAACGUGCCCAGUCGUGGGGAUAACGUAGCGAAAGCUACGCUAAUACCGCAUACGAUCUAUGGAUGAAAGCGGGGGAUCGCAAGACCUCGCGCGAUUGGAGCGGCCGAUAUCAGAUUAGGUAGUUGGUGAGGUAAAGGCUCACCAAGCCGACGAUCUGUAGCUGGUCUGAGAGGACGACCAGCCACACUGGGACUGAGACACGGCCCAGACUCCUACGGGAGGCAGCAGUGGGGAAUUUUGGGACAAUGGGCGCAAGCCUGAUCCAGCAAUGCCGCGUGCAGGAUGAAGGCCUCGG
This 390-nucleotide ribosomal RNA is filed under the name uncultured bacterium. Its description in RNAcentral is "bacterial SSU rRNA". It matches the Rfam family "Bacterial small subunit ribosomal RNA", at positions 29 to 420 of the family's 1533-position model. The record is from RNAcentral.